This 269-nucleotide ribosomal RNA is filed under the name uncultured bacterium. RNAcentral's name for it is "partial 16S ribosomal RNA". It matches the Rfam family "Bacterial small subunit ribosomal RNA", at positions 524 to 790 of the family's 1533-position model. The record is from RNAcentral.
GACGAGCCACACGAACGUUAUUCGGAAUUACUGGGCUUAAAGGGUGCGUAGGCUGCGCGGAAAGUUGGGUGUGAAAUCCCUCGGCUCAACCGAGGAACUGCGCCCAAAACUGCCGUGCUCGAGGAAGAUAGAGGUAAGCGGAACUUACGGUGGAGCGGUGAAAUGCGUUGAUAUCGUAAGGAACACCUGUGGCGAAAGCGGCUUACUGGGUCUUUUCUGACGCUGAUGCACGAAAGCUAGGGGAGCAAAACGGGAGUUAGAAACCCUGA